Molecule: long non-coding RNA, 81 nt
Filed under: Chinchilla lanigera (long-tailed chinchilla)
Lineage: Eukaryota; Metazoa; Chordata; Mammalia; Rodentia; Chinchillidae
Description: Deleted in lymphocytic leukemia 2 conserved region 5 (ENSCLAG00000020065.1)
Rfam family: Deleted in lymphocytic leukemia 2 conserved region 5
Source: RNAcentral
AUCAUGUUCCAAUGCAUGUGAGUAUUCAAUCAAAGAACUUUGGUUGUUUUCCAGAAUUGGCUCUUUCUUAAAGGUCAAAAC